ACUCCUACGGGAGGCAGCAGUGGGGAAUAUUGGACAAUGGGCGCAAGCCUGAUCCAGCCAUGCCGCGUGAGUGAUGAAGGCCCUAGGGUUGUAAAGCUCUUUCACCGGUGAAGAUAAUGACGGUAACCGGAGAAGAAGCCCCGGCUAACUUCGUGCCAGCAGCCGCGGUAAUACGAAGGGGGCUAGCGUUGUUCGGAUUUACUGGGCGUAAAGCGCACGUAGGCGGACUAUUAAGUCAGGGGUGAAAUCCCGGGGCUCAACCCCGGAACUGCCUUUGAUACUGGUAGUCUUGAGUUCGAGAGAGGUGAGUGGAAUUCCGAGUGCAGAGGUGAAAUUCGUAGAUAUUCGGAGGAACACCAGUGGCGAAGGCGGCUCACUGGCUCGAUACUGACGCUGAGGUGCGAAAGCGUGGGGAGCAAACAGGAUUAGAAACCCGUGUAGUCCCAU
This 447-nucleotide ribosomal RNA is filed under the name uncultured organism. Its description in RNAcentral is "partial 16S ribosomal RNA". It matches the Rfam family "Bacterial small subunit ribosomal RNA", at positions 335 to 798 of the family's 1533-position model. The record is from RNAcentral.